ACCUUAGAGACCAACUAAGUUUGUUCUGGGUAUAAGCUUUUGUGUGCAUGCGCACGAAAGCUUAUACCCAGAACAAACAUAGUUGGUCUCUAAGGU
Molecule: non-coding RNA, 96 nt
Organism: Podarcis lilfordi (Lilford's wall lizard)
Lineage: Eukaryota; Metazoa; Chordata; Lepidosauria; Squamata; Lacertidae
Source: the annotation of a GenBank genome assembly